RNAcentral lists this ribosomal RNA (871 nucleotides) under Pterotylenchus sp. RH-2018. RNAcentral describes it as "bacterial SSU rRNA". It matches the Rfam family "Eukaryotic small subunit ribosomal RNA", at positions 183 to 1054 of the family's 1831-position model. Lineage: Eukaryota; Metazoa; Nematoda; Chromadorea; Rhabditida; Anguinidae. The record is from RNAcentral.
GAGGUCGAAACCGGGAAAAGGUGCAAUUUAUUAGAACAAACCAGGCGGCCUUCGGGCCGUUUUUGGGUUGACUCAAAAUAACUAACCUAAUCGCAGGGUCUCGUACCGGCAACGUUUUCUUUCAAUUAUCUGCCUUAUCAACUUUCAAUGGUAUUGUAUCUAACUACCAGGGUGGUGACGGGUAACGAAGGAUAAGGGUUCACCACUCCGAAAAAGGGGCCUAAAAAAUGGCCCCUACUUCUAAGGAUGGCAGCAAGGCGCGCAAAUCACCCACUCUCAAAAUGAGGAGGUAGUGACAAGAAAUAAACGAAACCGUUCUCUUAAAGGCCGGUCAUCGGAAUGGGUACAAUCUAAAACCCUUUAACAAGUAUCUAUGAAAGGGCAAGUCUGGUGCCAACACCCGCGGUAAAUUCCAGCUCUCAAAAUGCAUAGAAUUAGUGCUGCGGUUAAAAAGCUCGUAGUUGGAUCUGUGCCAGGGACUUGGUCCGCCUUCGGGCGCUAACUGGGCUCCCCGGUUUUUCUGCUGGUUUUCUCCUCAUGGUCUUAACCGGCUGUGGCGGGUGGUUGGCGAUUUUACUUUGAACAAAUCAAAUUGCUCAACACAGGCGUUUCGCUUGAAUGUUCGUGCAUGGAAUAAUAAAAGAAGAUUUCCGUCCUAUUUAGUGGUUUAUACGCUGAAAUAAUGGUUAAUAGAGACAAACGGGGGCAUUAAUAUCUCUGCGUGAGAAGUGAAAUUCUUGGACCGCAGCGAGACGAACUACCGCGAAAGCAGUUUGCCAAGAAUGUAACUUCAUUAAUCAAGAACGAAGUCAGAUGUUCGAAGGCUAUCAUAUACCCCUUUUUCGCCAAAAAAAAACAAAAACCCAACCAU